GAAAGGCCCUGAGCAGAGAGGGCAGCACCUCUAGAAGCUGGAAAAGGUGAAGAAACAACUCUGCUUCCAGAAGGAAAGCAAUCCUCCCUCAGGUAUGACUCAAUGAAGGAUCUUGAGACACUUCCUCUGUACUUCCCUGACCCAGCUGACUGCCCUAAGAACCCGAGGCCUGGGCUGUGUCCCCAGGCUCCUAGCUGGCUGGCUUCCAGGGCUUCCCACAGGCAAAGCAAGGCACAAAAUUCGCAGAAUUUAGUGCAAAAUGAAAAUAUUGGACCCCUUUUUCAUAAAGCAAGGAAAUGAAUGUGG
This is a long non-coding RNA of Eptesicus fuscus (big brown bat), 306 nucleotides long. RefSeq lists it as uncharacterized. The record is from RefSeq and is a predicted model, not a curated record. NCBI's taxonomy places the organism in Eukaryota, Metazoa, Chordata, Mammalia, Chiroptera, Vespertilionidae. The transcript is spliced from 3 exons.